RNAcentral lists this ribosomal RNA (321 nucleotides) under Triticum aestivum (bread wheat). RNAcentral describes it as "partial small subunit ribosomal RNA". Lineage: Eukaryota; Viridiplantae; Streptophyta; Magnoliopsida; Poales; Poaceae. The record is from RNAcentral.
AUGGCCUUUCGGGAGCAAGAGUCUUCCGGGACAACAUCUGGUCGGAGAACUGCCUCUGCUCGGAAGAAGCGCAGAUCCAGCCAACUGAAGCGGUUGCGGCCAGAAGAGAGGUCGCUGAACAAUUAUGUGCUCUGGCAUACAUACGUUUUGAUGGCCGUAACAGGCUUGGGCUACCUGGCGCUCCUAUGGUCGACUGUAGUCCUCCUGGGGGGCUUCGUCGCCGUGCUGCGGAGCAAGGAUUUCUGGUGCCUCACAGCCAUUAGCAUGUUACAGGCAUCCAGGUUAGUAAUGGCAUAUCGCCACCUUCUGGAUCCCGUUUGA